GGUCGCGUGGUGUAGCCUGGUUAAACAUGCUUCCCUGUCACGGAAGAGAUCACGGGUUCAAAUCCCGUCGCGACCGCUA
This 79-nucleotide transfer RNA is filed under the name Candidatus Nealsoniibacteriota bacterium. Its description in RNAcentral is "Candidatus Nealsonbacteria bacterium tRNA-Asp". It matches the Rfam family "tRNA". From Rfam's summary of the family: Transfer RNA (tRNA) molecules are approximately 80 nucleotides in length. Their secondary structure includes four short double-helical elements and three loops (D, anti-codon, and T loops). Lineage: Bacteria; Candidatus Nealsoniibacteriota. The record is from RNAcentral.